Humulus lupulus (European hop) is the source of this 3604-nucleotide RNA transcript. RefSeq lists it as uncharacterized. Lineage: Eukaryota; Viridiplantae; Streptophyta; Magnoliopsida; Rosales; Cannabaceae. The record is from RefSeq and is a predicted model, not a curated record. The transcript has 2 exons.
CCUAAGCAUCCGAACGGGGCCGUGUGAGGCCAUGACAUCUUAGCAUCUCGCGAGGCCAUGGCCUAGGCAUCUCGCGAGGCCACUCGGGUGGCGCGGCCGUGACCAUCUCGCGAGGCCACUUGGAAGGCGCGGCCGAGGCCUUCUCGCGAGGCCACUUGGUGGCAUGGGCUGGCGAGGCCGAGCAAGGCCAUGUCGCCUCGCGCCUUAGCAUCCGUAUCUUGUAAACCGCGUGUUUUCCCUUGAUGAGUUUUUGAGCAUCAACACUUGCCCCCUAGUCUAGGAGAGGACCUUUAGGUGCUAUUGUAGACUAUUCAUCUUGGUUCUUAUAAAUAGGCCUUCAUGCAUGGCUUAAUAUUUACACCUUACUUCCUUGGCUUAGUGGUAGUUAGACCCUUGCUCCUUUCAAGAGGUAAAGGGUUCAAUCCCCCACAACCACACUUUUUCCAUAGUUUCGUCACUUUUUCAUUUUUUCAUUUUUUUUUUUACAUAUGAGCUAAUUUCUUGGUGUGUAUAUUUUAUGACUAACACACGUCUCUGGUUAAUUCUUGCAGACGCGCAUUUUCGACGCUUUGGUGCUUUUCGCUUCCCGACCUUCUUUGGACCCCGACCUCGUUCUUUUAAUCGCUUGAGGUAUAUUUUCUUUCCUCCUCCUUUUUAAUUAUUUAUUAUUAUUAUUUUUUUUAUCGGGUCCAAACUAGCAGUACUCGGGAUGGGGUACAUUAGUCCGAGCUUGUAGUGAGUUUGACCAUAUGCACGCCCCUCCUCCUUUUUUUAUAUAUACCCUGUAGUAGUCCAUUUAGGGCGUUUGCAUCUAGAGGUAUUAAGCCUAUUCCUUUGUGUUUUGUAGCCUUCCCCUCAUUUAUACGUGAGCCCCUUUUUGCUGUUGGGACGUGGUUUCAUGGCCAGUGACGGCCCGUCUGACAUACCCCCAAGGGUUGAGUUUAUUGACCUGUCCUCAGACUCAGAGUCCCCUGAGGGCAACCCUUACCAGGACUAUGAUUCUUUGAGGCAAGCCUGCAUCCGCCACCUCAGAGUGCAUGGCUGAUCUUAGGCGUAAAAUUUGGGUGGUAGAGAGCGAAAUUGACUCGGUGUCAAGGGGAGAUGGAGGACCUUCACCCCUGGGCCUUAGUGACCAUAUAGCGCGUCUUAGGACGACCCUUUUCGAAUUGCGAUGGGAGUUAGAAUUUAUGGAGGGACACAUUCCGCCAGAACCUCCCACUCCUUCCUCGUCUAAUGAUAGUCAUGGGGCCGCUAGCUCCUAUCCCCAGCCCCUAGUUUCAGUUUAUCCUAGCUUAGCGCUUCCGCCAUCGCUCCCUCGAUGGAAAACUCUUGCUAGGAAGAAAAAAUGGAGGGUUAAGUGUUCUGCCUCUUCCUCACAUAUUUCUUUUGAUUUUGCAGAUAUGCCGAGAGCACGCAGACAGGUGUCUGUCCAGGAAGAGGACGACGCCCCUCUACUGGCAUCCAGCCUAGUGUCCCAUGUAUCUUUGAACAAAUUGAAGGGGAUAGUGAAGCACUAUCGCAUUGCUCCGGAAUACGCCCUAUACGCUCCUAAGGAGACCUGUCGGGCUGACUGCCCUGAGAUGGGUUUUGUAGCUUUGAGCGAGCAAAUUUUGAAGGCGGGUGGCACCAUUCCUUUGCACCCGUUCUUUGUGGCAGUUCUUAACUACUUCGACUUGGCCCCUCUUCAACUGUCACCCAACAGUUGGUUGACUUUAAGUUGUCUUUUCAUUUGGUUCAAGCAGAAUGUCGAGCGUGCCCCGACGGCGCAAGAGGUGCAUACCCUGUACAACCUCAUGGCGGUGCACAAGUCCAAGGGCUUCUUCUACCUGCAGAAGGCCAACAACGAUCUCCCCUUGAUAGAGGGCUCGGUGUCCAACCCAGGGCUUUGGAAGCAAGACUUUUUCUGGGUAAAGGGCCCUCUCUCAGUUCGUGAGGACUUUCGCUCCGGCCCUAGUAAGUACCUUGGUCCUUCUUUUUUUUUUCUUAUUAGAACUUACUGUUUCGUACCUUUGCUUGUGCUGACAUUGGCGUGGAUCAUGCAGAGCAAUUCGCUGAUCCUUCGGUCAUUGGGACAGAGGCGACGGCUAUAAACAACCUUAUAGAUGCAGAUGUCGCCCUGAAGAAGGCGACGGUCCUAUUUACUGUGACGAACCUUACCCUCCACCAGCUAUCCCCGGUUUUUGACCCCAAGUUCCUGUGGUCAAUUACUGUGUCUAAGAAGGCUACGGCUACGCCGGUUGAGCCGUCCCUACACGAUGGUGAGGCCGAGGAGGAGAUGGAGGAUGCCCCCCCGUUCCCCGGGGGAUGCCCUCCCUAUGGCCCACAUGACCAGGGCAUGGCUUUUCCAUCUCUGGACCCGUAGGCCGCAGCGGGAUGUUACGCCCCUCCUGGCCUUGAUGGCAUGAACGUCUUCCCUCAGGUCCCUCAUGAUAUUGGCAUACCAGACGCUGACUAUGUCGACCUCGCGGAGCCCCCUUCUAAUGCACCAGGGUCCCAGUUUUUUCCCUUCUCUGCGCCUCCUCCUGCUUCGGCGAGUGGGUCAUCCGUUCCUGUCCAACCAGAUGUUCCUAGCGUGGAGGCAGAGCCUUGGGUGACUAGGAUGGCCUCAGUUUAUGGGCAGCGUUUCGUUCCAAUAGCCGCGAGUCUCCCUGUCUCCGACUGGAGGGGCCUAGGGAAUGUGACUCAACCAGACCUCGGGGAGAUGCUAAGGCGCGUCGCAGCCUGGGUCUACAUCGUGUCUCUUCGGCAUGCUGACUCGUCCGGUGUCCUCUCCGCAUCUACCACUGAGAGGGACGGCCUCAUAGUCCAGGUCCAGGGGCUCGAAAAUGAGCUUAGCGCAACCAAGGUCCAAUUGUCAAAGGCCCGGACUAAGUAUGCCAAGUUGGACUCGAAGAAUGAGAAGCUGAAGGCCAAGAUCAAGGAGCUGAAGGGCAAGGCUAAAUGCUUGGAGCGCGAGCUCCGGGGGGCCAAGGCCGCUGCGUUCGGGUCGCAGGAGAGGGUUACCCAACUGGAAACUAAAGUUGAGGCCCUUAGUGCUGAACUACAGUCGGCUCAAGAGAGGAACGCUUCCUUGGAGGCGGAGAAGGCUUCUUUGGAGGCGGAGAAGGCUUCUUUGGAGGCGGAGAGGGUCAUAACCGAGCGCAAGUCUAUAGAUCGUGCUCUUUACAAUGUGUGGAGGCAGGAUCCCAACUUCGACUUCUCCUCUUUUGGCGAACAGGCCGUUGCCCGAGCGGCCUGGUGGAGUACCCACUACAAGAGACCUUGAAAUAGUCUAGCUCCCUUUUUUUUAAUUUUAUUUUGUAACCUCAUUAUCAGUGCUACUUUUCUAUUGGUAGCUCUUGUACUAUCCCGAGAACUCCUUUUUUUUUAAUGUAUAAAUACAUAUGUUGCUGUUUAUUUCUUGUUCUAUUGCAUUUGAGGCCCUUUUAAGCCUGUAUGAUGGGGUUUGGUUGGUUCCCCUCUUUUAUCUAUCAGACUGGAGGUCCUUUGGAACCCAUGUGAGAGGGUUCACUGGGACCUCUUUUGGUGCCUCUUGGUGGCUUUUAUAAGGAUAUUUUGACCCCUUGGGUCUUAGCUAUCCUUUUAUGUUUUUCUUGCGCGCGCU